CCUACGGGAUGCAGCAGUGAGGAAUAUUGGUCAAUGGGCGCGAGCCUGAACCAGCCAAGUAGCGUGAAGGAUGACUGCCCUACGGGUUGUAAACUUCUUUUAUAAAGGAACAAAGUGAGGCACGUGUGCCUUUUUGUAUGUACUUUAUGAAUAAGGAUCGGCUAACUCCGUGCCAGCCGCCGCGGUAAUACGGAGGAUCCGAGCGUUAUCCGGAUUUAUUGGGUUUAAAGGGAGCGUAGAUGGGUUGUUAAGUCAGCGGUAAAAUGUCCGGGCUCAACCCUGGCCGGCCGUUGAAACUGGGGAUCUGGAGUGGGCGAGAAGUAUGUGGAAUGCGUGGUGUAGCGGUGAAAUGCAUAGAUAUCACGCAGAACUCCGAUUGCGAAGGCAGCAUACCGGCGCCCGACUGACGCUGAGGCACGAAAGCGUGGGGAUCGAACAGGAUUAGAUACCCCGGUAGUC
RNAcentral lists this ribosomal RNA (459 nucleotides) under uncultured bacterium. RNAcentral describes it as "partial 16S ribosomal RNA". It matches the Rfam family "Bacterial small subunit ribosomal RNA", at positions 338 to 795 of the family's 1533-position model. The record is from RNAcentral.